Molecule: ribosomal RNA, 529 nt
Filed under: uncultured bacterium
Lineage: Bacteria
Description: bacterial SSU rRNA
Rfam family: Bacterial small subunit ribosomal RNA
Source: RNAcentral
AAUAGAUACCCAGGUAGUCCACGCCGUAAACGAUGAGUGCUAAGUGUUAGAGGGUUUCCGCCCUUUAGUGCUGCAGCUAACGCAUUAAGCACUCCGCCUGGGGAGUACGGCCGCAAGGCUGAAACUCAAAGGAAUUGACGGGGGCCCGCACAAGCGGUGGAGCAUGUGGUUUAAUUCGAAGCAACGCGAAGAACCUUACCAGGUCUUGACAUCCUCUGCCAACCCUAGAGAUAGGGCGUUCCCCUUCGGGGGACAGAGUGACAGGUGGUGCAUGGUUGUCGUCAGCUCGUGUCGUGAGAUGUUGGGUUAAGUCCCGCAACGAGCGCAACCCUUGAUCUUAGUUGCCAGCAUUCAGUUGGGCACUCUAAGGUGACUACCGGUGACAAACCGGAGGAAGGUGGGGAUGACGUCAAAUCAUCAUGCCCCUUAUGACCUGGGCUACACACGUGCUACAAUGGAUGGUACAAAGAGCUGCGAACCCGCGAGGGUAAGCCAAUCUCAUAAAGCCAUUCUCAGUUCGGAUUGUAGG